Oncorhynchus tshawytscha (Chinook salmon) is the source of this 335-nucleotide long non-coding RNA. The record is from Ensembl. Lineage: Eukaryota; Metazoa; Chordata; Actinopteri; Salmoniformes; Salmonidae.
AAGAGAGAGAGAGAGAGAGAGAGAGAGGUAGCAAGAAGAAGAGAGAGAGAGGUAGCAAGAGGAAGAGAGAGAGAGGUAGCAAGAGGAAGAGAGAGAGAGAGAGAGAGGUAGCAAGAAGAAGAGAGAGAGAGGUAGCAAGAGGAAGAGAGAGAGAGGUAGCAAGAGGAAGAGAGAGAGAGAGGUAGCAAGAAGAAGAGAGAGAGAGGUAGCAAGAGGAAGAGAGAGAGAGGUAGCAAGAGGAAGAGAGAGAGAGAGAGAGGUAGCAAGAGGAAGAGAGAGAGAGAGGUAGCAAGAGGAAGAGAGAGAGAGAGAGGUAGCAAGAAGAAGAGAGAGAG